Long non-coding RNA from Capsicum annuum, 642 nucleotides. RefSeq lists it as uncharacterized. Lineage: Eukaryota; Viridiplantae; Streptophyta; Magnoliopsida; Solanales; Solanaceae. The transcript has 3 exons. The record is from RefSeq and is a predicted model, not a curated record.
AUAUGUUUUAGCACCCCCUCCCCCCUCAAGUUGGAAGGAGAUAAUUCACUGACUGACUACUUGUGUAGAUUGUCUGUGCCUUGGUGAGUAGAUCAACCAACUGAUUUGCAGUAGAGGUGCCAUGCGAUUUCUUCAUCGUGUUCGUGACCCAACCCUCAUGCUCACAAAGAAGGAGUUCCAUGUGUAUCUCAUUCUUGAUGAAGAAUGAUAGUGGGCCAGGAAACCAUGUUUUGGAUCUUAACAAGAGAAGCGAUGAAAAAUUUGAUGAUUUUGGACACCUACAUGGGUACCUAUGCCCUGUAGGUACUACCUACGUGGGGUAGGUGUUAGAAUAUAUGCCAGAAAGUUAAAGUCCAGAGAUUCAGAAGAUGAAAAUUUUUUACUGUCACCUACGGAGGACUACCUACGGGCUUUAAGUAGAAUCUACACCCUGUAGGUGUUAGAAGACAUAAGUUCAGAGAGUUUCUCAUGAUUUUUAAGAAGUAGCACCUACGGUAUGACCACCUAUGUCUUGUAGGUGCCACCUACGCCCCAUAGGUGGCCCUGUAGAAGGUCACUGACUCUGAUUUUCCUCUUUUACUUAGGAUUAGUUUCCUAGGGUUUCCUUGUACUCUGUAGAUACCCCUUUGACAUUUUUAGUUA